This 505-nucleotide ribosomal RNA is filed under the name uncultured bacterium. RNAcentral describes it as "partial 16S ribosomal RNA". It matches the Rfam family "Bacterial small subunit ribosomal RNA", at positions 28 to 507 of the family's 1533-position model. The record is from RNAcentral.
GACGAACGCUGGCGGCGUGCCUAAUACAUGCAAGUAGAACGCACAGUUUAUACCGUAGCUUGCUACACCAUAGACUGUGAGUUGCGAACGGGUGAGUAACGCGUAGGUAACCUGCCUGGUAGCGGGGGAUAACUAUUGGAAACGAUAGCUAAUACCGCAUAAUAUUAAUUAUUGCAUGAUAAUUAAUUGAAAGGUGCAAUUGCACCACUACCAGAUGGACCUGCGUUGUAUUAGCUAGUAGGUGAGGUAACGGCUCACCUAGGCGACGAUACAUAGCCGACCUGAGAGGGUGAUCGGCCACACUGGGACUGAGACACGGCCCAGACUCCUACGGGAGGCAGCAGUAGGGAAUCUUCGGCAAUGGACGAAAGUCUGACCGAGCAACGCCGCGUGAGUGAAGAAGGUUUUCGGAUCGUAAAGCUCUGUUGUAAGAGAAGAAAGGGUGUGAGAGUGGAAAGUUCACACUGUGACGGUAUCUUACCAGAAAGGGACGGCUAACUACGUG